ACAGGAGGCAGCAGUGGGGAAUAUUGCACAAUGGGGGAAACCCUGAUGCAGCGACGCCGCGUGAGUGAAGAAGUAUUUCGGUAUGUAAAGCUCUAUCAGCAGGGAAGAAAAUGACGGUACCUGACUAAGAAGCCCCGGCUAACUACGUGCCAGCAGCCGCGGUAAUACGUAGGGGGCAAGCGUUAUCCGGAUUUACUGGGUGUAAAGGGAGCGUAGACGGUGAAGCAAGUCAGAAGUGAAAGCUCGGGGCUCAACCCCGGAACUGCUUUUGAAACUGUUUUACUAGAGUGCAGGAGAGGUAAGCGGAAUUCCUAGUGUAGCGGUGAAAUGCGUAGAUAUUAGGAGGAACACCAGUGGCGAAGGCGGCUUACUGGACUGUAACUGACGUUGAGGCUCGAAAGCGUGGGGAGCAAACAGGAUUAGAUACCCUGGUA
This 434-nucleotide ribosomal RNA is filed under the name uncultured Lachnospiraceae bacterium. RNAcentral's name for it is "partial 16S ribosomal RNA". It matches the Rfam family "Bacterial small subunit ribosomal RNA", at positions 341 to 792 of the family's 1533-position model. Lineage: Bacteria; Bacillati; Bacillota; Clostridia; Lachnospirales; Lachnospiraceae. The record is from RNAcentral.